AAGGGAGACCUAAUUCAGGUAUGGGACGAAAAAAAAGUAGUCGCUACCGAGGAUCAAUCCCAAAGGGUCGGAGCGAGGUAUGAGGCUUUCAAACUAGGUUCUGGGUUCAAACAAGACCUGAAUCAGGAACAAGGGCUAUUAGCUCAGGUGGUUAGAGCGCACCCCUGAUAAGGGUGAGGUCCCUGGUUCGAGUCCAGGAUGGCCCACCUGCACAGGUGGCAAAAACAAGAGAAGCGAGGAAUCAGCACCUUAUCUUAUCUAUAUAUAUAUAGGAGAGAAUGCUGGCUCUGAGUAAAGAGUCCAGAGGAACCUUGAAAACUGCAUAGAGCUAGGUGAAAAAGCCAAAAAAGAAGACCGCAAGGUCAAGCUAAUAAGGGCUAACGGUGGAUACCUAGGCAC
This 399-nucleotide transfer RNA is filed under the name uncultured Microcystis sp. RNAcentral's name for it is "partial contains 16S-23S ribosomal RNA intergenic spacer, and 23S ribosomal RNA". The stretch from base 133 to 206 matches the Rfam family "tRNA". The record is from RNAcentral. Lineage: Bacteria; Bacillati; Cyanobacteriota; Cyanophyceae; Chroococcales; Microcystaceae.